GCAGGGCCUCUGCGACCAGGGAGCGGCGGGCAAGGGGCUGAGGGGAGGGGGACCUGGUGCCAGCCGUUUAAAAGUGCCCCUGUGGCAGUGAAGGGUGCCAGAGGCCCGGUCAAGUUAGUUGAGAAGAAGUGACACCCCCAACCAUUCCCCAAAUGGUCUGGCCCCCGUAUCCCGGCUGCAAGGAGCCAUAUCUGGACCAGACCCCCAGAGAGGUAAGAACCGCGGCAGAUGUGGGGUCUGCCCAUGGCGGGGCCUCUGCGGCAUCCUCCCCAGGCGAACGCUGCAUCCAGGGGUCUGGUCCUUGCUCUCUUGCUAACCUGCUCUAACUUCUGCCUCUCCGGGCCUCAGCUUCCCCAUCUGUACAGUGGCUGGGCUGGAGCAUCUCUAAGCACCCACCCUGCUUUGACCAGAUGUGGUCCUGUUGGCUUCCAGGCCUCCUUGUGGCUGCAGUUAAGUGGGGGAGGCGGGGAGGAGUGGACAGUGUUAACAUCAUGCCGGCCCGACCUUCACUGCUGAUCCGGAGUCUGGGCCCGUCUCCCUGGCUUCUCUGCAGACAGUGCUCCUUCUUGCUCUAUGAGGUUUGAUUUCACAGUUACAAGAGCCUGGGGCUGCUGGCGAGGAAAACUGUUUUCAAAUAAUGGUUUCAAGAAGCAAAGCUAGAGGAGAAGCGAUGUCAGCUCGGGCUCCGGCAGAAAGGCAGAGGGGCAGGAAGGCCAGGACAAGGCAGUGGAAGGGCAGGCUUGCUGGGGGAUGGGGUCGCCGGCCCUGCCUCUCACUGUUCUGGCCCUUCAGCGUUGGGGGGGCACCCUAGCCUCUCUGGGCCGCAAUUUCCCAUCUGUACCAUGAGGCAAUUGGACAACACGGUCUCCAUGCAGGAUGUGGCUUCUGAGCCUAAAGGGCAGCCAGUGUCGGGAAGUUUCCCCAGGAGUCCCUGAGCUGAGUCCGCCCUUUGACCACGGGCUUAGAGUCCAAGCAGAUGCCCAAGGCCCAUGGGAGCUUUUAGAGGUUGAUCCUCAAGUGAUGGAAAGAAACCAAAGGGUCUCUGACACAGGCUUGGCCGGGGGGAGGACCAGCCCACAGCCCUGAGGCCUCAGGAUGGACCUGGCCCCAAUGCAGCCCCUGGUGGGGAAGGGGUUCAUCUCUGGAUCAGGAGGUGUAGGACCUCUGAGAGGCAUGGGGACAGAAAACACAGCAGAGGAUUUCAGGGGGGGUGAAGUGGUGGGGCCAGAGGACGCAGAGGAAGGCAGGAGACUUGCGAUGGGCAGUGUGGAAGGCAGGGCUGUGUAGAGGCAGAGGACUGGGACCAGCUGGAAGGAACACAGGCAACAUGGACCUUCUGAGCAUGCUCUGAAUGCACCCGGCCCAGAAUGGACACAGUCCUCCAGCGUCACACUGCCUAGCCCCCUCACCUCCCUACUUCUGGUCACACAAGACCCAAGGCCAUAAUGGUCCUAAAGGAGACUCUGGAAUCCAACUGCCUGGGUCCAAUUCUGGCUUGUUUACUCAGCAGACACAUGACUCUGGGCAAGUCGCUUGCCAUCUCUGAGCCUCAGCUUCCUCUUCUAUAAAAUGGGUAUGGUCUUGGUUCUGACAUCACUUUGUUGUCAUGAGGAGUGAGGGACACAUGCACAGAAGAGCAAGAUAAAAGGGGCUGGUGUUACUUUACAGUUAGACUCUCCUCCUGUGGGGCAAAAUGAGCUUAGCUCUGUUUAGAGAGAAGCGGGAAGGAAACCCGGCCAGGGAGCACCUGGAGAUGCUGAAAAGAGAACGGGGUCUGGAAAGAGGCAGGAGGGAUGAGUUUAGAGGUCGGAGGUUAAGGGGCACAAAAGAGGGGUCAACUUGAGAUGCCUAAAGGGCUAAGUGAGGUCUCCUUUCCUGCAUUCAUAGGGCACUGUGUGGGCAAUGUGCCCCAGAGUGUGGUGUCUGAACCACUGCACCCUCAUCCAGCGACAUCUCCUGUCAGGGAAUCCUGGGUGGGGCCCAGGAAUCUGCAUUACCAGCUCCCAGGGAGUUCCCACCCACACAGAGUUUUGAGAAUGCUGUGCUGUCAAGCAGUCUGGGACCCUCACAAACACAGCUGAGGCAACUGAAUUCACAAAAAGAGAACACCGCUCUAGGUCACACAGCUGAUGGCAGAGCUGUGACAGAAUCAGCCCCUCAGCCCAGCCCGAGGCUCCAUAAGGUGGAUAGGAGAAUUAUAUUUCGAUUAUCGUGGUCCAGGCACUACCUAAGGCCUUUACACGAAUUCAUUCAUUUACUCCUCACAACGAUGAUGUGAGGUGGAUGCAACGAUUAUCCCCAUUGUACAGGUGAGGAAACUGAGACACUGAGAGGUUAAGUAGCUUGCUAAGGUCACUGUAUGUGUGCUGGCUGCCCCACCUGCUCUCUCCCCAGGAGUCUCCCACCUCCUGCCCUCCCCUCGGCCACCCCACCAUGGAAUGGAGACCUUCCAAUGUACCUCAAGAAUAUGCAUGGUGGAUUUCCCUGGGAGCCAGGUCCUGGGUUGAGUCUGUUGCGUUAUCAUUUAAUCCUCCUGGGAUUACCGUAAGGCAGGAACUAGCAUCAUUCCAUCAUCACCAUUUAUAGGGUGGAAAACCACUGGAGCUUCCCCAAAGUCACACAGCUAGAAAGUGGCAGAGGGGACUUGAACCCAGUCUGCAACUCCCAAACGCAUGAUCGUAUCCUGCCCACAACGGCACCUCCGAGAGGAGUGACAAAGAAUCCCACUUCACAGAGGAGAUCAGGGCUAAGAGGGCGGCCAAGCCAGAGCUCAAACCCAAGUCUUCUUGGCAGUGGUCCAAGGCCACCGCUCCCCUUUAGCCUCACCGCUACCCAAGGUUGGAAAGGAGUUUGCUAGCCACUGGUCCCCAGGAGCCACACUGCAGCUCCUUGAGCAGAGUAGACAUUUUCCCAGCCUGGCCAGUUCUGGGGAAGAGCUGACACUCACAUAGCCCUGAGGAAUAGAAAGUUCCAGGCCCACGGCCACCUUCACCUGAUUCCCCGUGUGAGUCUUGAGGAGUCGAGGAGUCGCAGGAGAUGGCCUCUGAGGUCCUCGCCUCUGGGCUAUGGGCCCCGCCUCAACUGCAACUUCCCGGCUAAACACUGCCCGGGCUUCAGGGCCAUGGGGUCAUGUAAAGAACCGUGAUAAGGGUUUUUUCCUAUUCUUGUUAUAACCGUUUUUGUCCACAUCUCCUGGUGCACAUGAGCUAGAGUUUCUCCCGGGUUUAUACCACAAGAAGGAUUGCUGAGUUCUGGGGUGCAUGCCUGGCAACUUUACAGGAGAGCACCUGAUUAUUUUCCAAAGUGAUUGAGCCAAGUUACAUUCCCACCAGCAGUGUAUGAGCAGCGCCCCCUGAGACACUUGACAUUAUCAGAUUUCUUGAAGUACAUGUGUUACGCUCUCUAUUUUGUAUCUAUCAAAUUUGUAUAAUAAAGAAUGUAAGGAAGAAACAAAAAUGCAGCUAUGCUCCUGUGCACACGGGUAUCUAGAAAUGUGCCCGACAGGCACCAAGUUGCAGAGGACCCUGAAGGCCCUGGGGUGGGAGUGGGCACUGCCCACGUGGCCCUCCCCCAGCCCAGCAGGAUGCAGUGGCCACGGUCCAAUCAGAGGUCGCCUGUGGGGUGAUCUGCAGGAAUCUGGGGGAAAGAGCCCACAGUGGCUGCCUCCUAACGGCCUGUCUAGACAGGCCCCACGGGGCUUCACCACAGGUUGCGAGAGCCCAGAGGCCGCCCCCUCCCCUCUUGCAAAAGAGGCUUGUUGACGGCAAUGCUUCACACCAGAAACCUUUUCUCCAAUUCAAAGCAUGCCUUAAUGCACAGCACGGACCACCCACUCUCAUGGCCCGUGGACGCCAACUCCUGCAGGCCCCUUUUUGUUUUCAUGAGGAAAUGGAGGCUGACUCUGGAGCCAGGGGGCUCUCAGAUGUGGGGUAAAUCCCUGUGCUCAGGUGAUGAGGGGACCAGGCAGGGGUCUGAGUGCUGCUAGAGAGGGGCUAAGGUGCAGUAGGCUGGCGGUCAAAGGUGCCAGAUGGGAGGGCGAGGAGGGGGAGGCAAGAAGAAAAAAAAAGGUGCCAGACAGGAGUCAGGCUGCCUGGGUUUGAAUCCCAGCUCUCCCUCGUAGCAACUGUGUGACCUCGGGCAUGAUAAUCCCUGUAGUGGUUAAGUUGACACAUUCCGCUUCGGCAGCCUGGGGUUCAUCGGUUUGGAUCCCAGGUGCGGACAUACACACUCCUCUUCAAGCCAUGCUGUGGUGGUGUCCCACAUACAAAACAGAGGACGAUUGGCAUGGAUCUUAGCUCAGGGACAAUCUUCCCGAAGCAAAAAAGAAAAUAAUACCUCCUCAUGAGGUUAUUGAGUUGUCUGGAUUAAAUGAGUUAAAAUUCAUGAAGCCCUCAGAACAGUGACUGGCACAUAGUAAGUACUCAAUAAAAAGUAACUGUUGAGAUGUAGUUACUAAAGGCAGCUUCUUCAGAGGGAAGGAGGUGCCGUACUGGGCUCCAACUGUUCUUUAUCCAUCUAGGGAGAUAAGCUGCCCUUGUUCCUUCAAUAAUAACAAUUGCCACAUAUCAAGUCUUCCCAAGUGCCAGUCCUUCCCCCAGCAAUCUCUGAAGUACCAUUAUCCUUCUGGGAACCCAGAGGCUCAGAGAAGUUUAGUCAUUUGCCUAAUGUCACACAGCUUCUAAAUGGCCAAGGUAGGGCUCAAACCCAGGUCUGGCUGACUCCAGAACCCAUGUGCUGACACUCCAGCACCACCCCAGUAAGUUUGUGAGCAAGAGCUAGUUCUGGUUCUGCUCUGCCUAAUAGGACCAAUUCUUGGCAUUUGGGGAGAAGACCAUUUGAAGCCAGAUGCCUCCUUUUAGAUCUUCUAGAUUAGGCCUUGUUAUGGUAAGGGGAUAAACAGAGCCCCCACCCCACCCUCACAUGUGCUCAGGGGCAAAAACGCAGACCCUGGUGAAACAAUGCUUCUCCCAAUGAGCCCCCGGAGUGUGGGCAGAGUGCCCUUGGGGUCCUCCUCAGUCCUGGGCCGCCUCUUGCGGGGCACAAUCCAUCGGAAAUUUGAGGAAGGGGCAGUCGGCUAGGCCAAGGCUGGAGGAAGCAGCCUCACUCUGGCUCCUGCUUAAGAGCCCAUACCAGCCACAAGCCUACGUCCCCUUCUCAGAGACCCUCCUCUGAGCCAAGCCAAGUUCCGAGGGAGACGGAAAAACCCCAAACUGGAAAACACGCUGGACCCUGAAGGUUAACAGGGACACUGCUCAGCUGCCACUAGCUUCCACCCCACACCCAUCUCCUCUUCCUUAAGAUGGGGUGAAGUGUACAGAGCAAGCUCCCUCCUCGGGAUGGCAUCCAUAGUGGCUGUGACACCACCCCUGGCUGGGCUGCCCAGCUCAGAGGCCACUGGUCAGUGUGCCCAGAGCCUGCCAGGCCUCAAGCACGUGACCCAACAACCCUAUUGAGCCCGAGGGCCUCUGCUGAGAUAAGCUGAACAAGACAGGGAGAAAGGGAAAGAACCAGGCGGAGACUCUGGCCCUGGCCCUGCAGCCAGCACACCUGGGUAAGUUCCUCCGUCCCUCUGGGACCUUCAGGCUGUGAUGUCCCAUGGUUUGGGAUGGAAGAGCGUCAGCUCAGUUUAUCCCACGUAUGGCAGGGAGGCCCAGACUCGCAGGGAGGGAAAACCUGGCGUCGGGUGGUCAGAGUGGCAGGGGGCACGGUGUGGACAGACAGAGAAGAAGAAGGCAGUCCAGGUGGAGAGCUCUCGGUACAAAGACGUGGAGGCGGGACUGGACAGACGUUUUCAGGAGAGCAGCAAACAAGCCCGUUUGGCUGGAACCGAGGGUAGGUCUCGGAGCUCGGUGAGGUCUGAGGCUGGCAAAGUGGGGAAGGCCUGGUCGUGGAGCAGCUUUGCCAGCCAGAAACCAAACCCCAGAAGGGGGGAGAAGUCCCCCUUGGGAUCUGUCUCUGGGAGGGGGUCCCUGUCUUUAGCCUGUUUGUCUGCUUCCCCAAAACACCGUCAGGCUGGGAGCCCAAGUGCAGGGGAGAGAGCCGGGAAUCUGGGCAUUGGCAGCUCUGAGAUGUCAAGCAAUGGGACAGGAGACCUCGGGUGGGAUUAAGAGGGGUAAGAAGCCUGAAGGCUAUAGUCACCAUCUUCACACCUCUGAAGAGCUUCCUGAGGAAAAGGAACUUGUUCUUUGCGGCCCCGAAGGAUAGGGAGUGCAGCCCCAGAGAGGCAGAUGUCAGCAGGAUAUUAGGAAGGAGUCUCUAACAGUCUGUCCGAAGAGAAAUUAGGUGAUUGAGAAGCAGUGAGCUCCCCAUCACCAAAGGUAUGCAAGCUCGGCAGGGACACUGUAGUGAGAAGUCAAACAUUAGAGGACUCUGGGCCUUGUGGCCUUUCCCACCACCAGCCUGGGACUUCACUUCACAGCCCUAGCUGCCUUGGGACAAUCUCGUGGGGCUGAGUCCUCCCGCUGCCUGGAUGUCAGAUUCCCAGCUAGGCAUGACAUCAGUCCUACCCUGACUUCACACAGGGGCCUCUGGGGACCCCCCGCCCCACUUCCUUUCACCCACUGAUGCCUUCCCUUCCCAGGGAGCACCAGGCCUGAGCAGAGAGACCUGGAGUCUGGUUAUGAGACUGGGUCCCUGUGGGAAUAUUCAGCUGAUGGCCUUCCACCCAGCAGGAAUGAAGCAGAGGGGCCAGCGUCCCUGGGAGCCCUGUUCACACGCCCCAGAGUCUACAUGGAAAUUCCAGGAGGGUCACAGGGAUGCUUCCAAUUUAGACCAAGACUCUUUAUUUUUGUCCCCCUUUCUUUCCAGUCCCUCCUUUCCCCCAGCAGUGGCAGGGGUGUCACAGGAGGCUGGAAGAGGAAGGCUAGUCUCCUCCUCGGGCUGAGUCACAGAGAGACCGAGUCGGGAGAGAUGGGGGUGUGGGGCAGACAGGGAGAGGAACCAGAGAGGGCCUGGGGAGGUGGACAGCGUGUGGGAGAGGGUGGAGGAAAGGGCAAAGUCAAGAGGACAGCCAGGCCUGGGCAGGGUCCUGGACGGCGGGCGUGAACAUCGCCCAGGGCAACAGGCAUUCCUGGACGCUCAAGAUCAGAGCCACCUGAGCUCUGGGGUCAAAGAGUCAGGCUGGGGUCGGAGAGUCAGCCCAGAUUCUCAGAACACACAGAGGGUCUCGGGGCUGGGGCUUCCAGGAUCCCUGGGCACUGGGUCCCCCUCACACUGACUGUAAAGCUACAGCAUUUUACUAGAUCCAUCUCCUUCACCCUUGUGAUCCUGGUAGAUGCUUAGUAAACAUUCCUGGUGUUGAAUCCUAAUCUCAGAGCAUCAUAGUCCUGUUAGAGCUAAAAGGGAGCUUCAAGAGCAUCAAGCAAGAUGCAGAACCCAAGGUCAAGAACAGGGAGAGACUUGCCCAAGAUCACAAGGCCAGAGUGGCCACCCAGCCCUGUGCGUCCUUCUUUGCCUCUUCCCUGCCUUCUAGCCAAAGAGGGAGACUACAGUAUAGUCCUCACAGCCAAGGGUGGGGAGAGAGGAGAGGCAGGUGCCUUGCCAGGACAUAACUGUCUCCAAGAGGUAGUCAGAAGAUAACGGCCUAUCUUGAAUUCUGGUUGCUCUGCCCAGGAAGGCCCUUUUUUCGGCCAGAGAUGGUCCCCAAAGCUGUUGGCUGCUACAGAUGGGAGGCCUCCUGCAGAGGGCUGGGAGGGGAGGCCCUGGUUCUAUUCCUGGCUCUGCCCCCACUUGCCACAUGACCUUGAGCAUGACCUUGAUCGUAAGGUCCUCUCUGGAUUCAGUGUGUCCAGUGAGGGGCUGGACCCAACUAGCUUGGACAGUUGGAGAUUCCAUCCAUGAUCUGCCUCAGUCUCCUGUGGGGCCUUCUCUCUCUGUCUUGGUCCAUCUUAGCUUUUGCCUCAGCACAGGAGGAAGGCCAGGCAUAGGAAGCAAAUAGCAGUCUGCAGAUUCCCCUCUGCCUGGAAGCAGCAUCCUUGAUGCCCAAGCUUUGCUUUCCAGCCUUGGAAUUCCCAGAGACGCAAAAAGCUGGGAAGGCCCUUAAGAUCACCCCUGUGAGGGAAUCUGAGAUGAGAGAGAUUCGGCAGAUUGCUCACAGUCACCCAGCAAAUAAUGUGCAAACUAGGAGUGGGCCUUGUGUCUCCUGGUGCCCAGCCCAGUGCUCUCUGCCCUGACCACAGUGGCUUCCAGAAUAAUGGGCAUGUAACCGUGCUCAUGUAGACCUGGACACCGAUCAACCUUGACACCUCAAACUCCCACACAGGGAGCCUACAAUCUCUCCCCUUCUCUGAGACUCAGUUUCUUCUUCCAUAAAACAGAGAGAUGGAGUGGACCAGAUGUCUCUAGAAGCCCUUCCACCAGGACCCCAGGGCUUUCCAGUAUGGCCACUUCAGCCCUUUCUUCACAGACCAUGGGGCUACUCAGGCCAGGAAAUCCCACCAAGUCACAACCCCCACUCAGCCCUGUGCCCCCCAGACCCCAGGGCUGAGCUUCCUCCAGAACUGCAGGCUCCAGCCCAGCUCCCCCUCUGAGGAUCUGGAUUUUUCUUACCAUAAAAGGGCAAGCGUGCCUCUCUCGGUCCCUGCUGCCAGCCCCGCUGGGGGAAAGGCUGAGCUAUUUUUGGAAAACUCAAGGGUUUGCUCCUGAAGUCAAGAUGGAGCUUGUCUGAGCCUACACUCGCGAGCCCCCUCCCCACCUCCCUCGCCCACCUGAUUUCUCUUCCUCACUCUACCCAUCUCUUCCUUCCCUCUCUGUGCCUGUCUCUGUCCUGCUGUCACUCACGCCCUCAAUCUCUCUGCCCUUGUCUCUCCCUCCCCUCUUCUCUCUCUUCCUUCCCCCUCACCUCUCUGCCUUCUCCCCAGAUCUUCUCAUAGCCAGGUCCCCUCCCCCACUUCCCUCCCUCAGAGCUUGUUUUUGGUGGUUGGAGAAAGUAACACAUCCUCACCCCCACUCCCUUCUUAAACACUAUUUACAACAUAAAUUCCAAACAUCCGCCAUCUGGUUCUAGGAAGGGCCAAAAGAUAUUUAGAAAAGGAAGUCAUGAUUAUUCCAUCUUCAAAGCCAAAGGAACUCAAAGGCCCUCCUCUCUCCUGCCUUCCUCCCAGGGCCCCUCUGUUAAGAUCUGACCGAUUAGGAUCCCUCACAGAGAAGAGGUCAGUCCCAGCUGGGCCUCUGAAUGACUGCAUCACUGGGAGCUCGUUGCUUCUCCUCUUUGUGUCUCAGUUUCCUCAUCUGAACAAUGGGCACGGGAUUGGGGUGCCUCCAGCAUUAACGCUCUGAGACUUCAAGUCCUGCUGCAGAAAAUCCACCUGGUCCGGUUCCCCGGGACCUGCUUGGGGCUGAGCAGGAGGGGUAGGAUGGGGACAAAGGGCAUGAGAAGCAGCUGGGAGAGCUCUCACCCCCACCCUCGAUGUCCCAUCUCUCCCUCUCCAUGAAGAUGAACACAGACCAUUCACUUCCUUCACACUGACACACACCAGCGGGAUGGGGUCGAACCAUCCCCCCUUAUCUGACCCUGGGAGGACUCCGGACACCAUGGAGUCCAGUCCUCUCCCCACCACAUCAUGAUGAGGCUCAGAGAGGGGAAUGCACUUGUCUGCAAUCACACAGCAUGUCUACAGGAGACCUAGUUCCUAACUUGCUGCUCUUCCCAUCCAGCACAUUCCAGAAGAAACCAACACUUGUAUUACCCUGAAAACAUCAUUCAGUCCCAGCAAAAUGGGACCCUGGAGGUCCUAGUCCUUUGCAAAGUGAACAGGACAGAAGGGAGAACUAAUUCCCUUAUCAUGGUGUUUCUUUAAACAAAUAGACAGCAUGCAAGGGAGAAAUCCUGUGGGAAAGCGGCGAAACAACCACCCAAUUGAGAAGUCCCCUUGCUUCUGGAGACGUGCGGCCCUGGCCAGGGCCUACGUAAGCUCCACUUAGACUGCAAAGUCCUUCUCUGUUCACAGCCCCCUUUCCAUACAAACGAACACAUGCCUGACAAAACACCGUGAGACACUGACUCAGGUUGUCGCUCUGAGAAAAUAGUGCCGUGAAUAGUCUGGUCUCCUGGGCAGGCAUGAAAAUGCGUGUUGGGCUGCCUGGAGCCAGUCUCGAUCCUGACAUUUACUAGCUGUGUGACCUUGGGGGAGGGCUGUCGCCGCUGGGAGCCUCAGUUUCCUCAUCUGUCAAAUGGGGAAAGAAUGGUACCUAAGUCAUAAGCCAUGGUGAGGAUCAGAUGAGAAAAAAAUAAAGCACUUAGCAAGCAUGGAGCACAUCGAAAGCCCCCGAAGCUGGUCCCUACCCCCCACCCUCCCAGAGCUGGAGCUGCUCAAGGCAGAGCUUGGGAUUUGGACCAGGCAGGUCUGCGCCCCGUUUCGUUCCCUCCCUUCCCUUCCCCCUUGUCACUCUGUUUCAGCCUCACACUGCAUUCCCAAGGCUUGCUCAAAAGUCCCCGGCAGCAACCUUCCCUGGGGAGGAAGUGGGGAGCGUGUGAGGCUGGUGAACUCAGCUGGGGUGUCAGGGGGGUGGAGGGCGUUCUGGGAACAGAGGCCCAGUGAAGCUGCGCAAUAGGGGGGACGUGGAAAGGGGCCCCACACAGUGGCUCACACCCCAGCUCCCACAUCUUCUUGGGAUCCCCUCUGGACCUUUGCCCUCAUCCUUUCUGCUUCUUCUCCUCCCCUGCCUGGGCCUCGCUGGGCACCCAGGCCCGUGCUCAUAAUGGAAAUUGCAGCCAUUUAUUGUGGGCUUGUUAAAGUGACAGCAACUGUGCUUGCCCUUGACAUCUGCAUCAUUUGACCUUCACAAACAAGCCUGUGAGGUUGGAAGCCAAGGUUCCAAGAGGUGAAGCCACCAGCUCUAGAUGACAUAGGUAGAAAGUGCUAGGGGCGAGAUUCGAAUGCAGGUGGCCUGGUUGCAAGCCCUGUGUCUUCUCUAUUCUUUCCAAACACGUGGUGGAAACUCUAGGGCCCUGGAGCCCAAGGAGAGCACAGGCUGUGGUACAUGCAAAAGCGUGAGGAAGCCAAGGAGGGGGCUAUGGGCAAAGAAGCCCUUCCAGAAAGAACCAGGUGUGGGUGUGGGAUCGUGUGCUUGCCUGGAGCCCCCGUCUCAGCCUUCUCCCACCGUGGUGCCAUCUGGCUCACACAUGUGGCCCAUUCCCUGCCCCUCACGUUUCUGGGAAAUGAGAAAGGCCAGGACAGAGCACAGAUGCUUUUGCAAUGACUGUGACGAUAUGAGUUUUGUUUUGUGGUCAUCCAGUGGCCCGCUGCCCCAGCUCGGGAGACAGCUGGACUGAGUGUAUGCCCCGGGGUCGUUCCACUCAGAGCCCCUUGGAACCUCAGUAAGCGGGGAAGUUAUUCCUACCUCUGGCGGUGGUCGCUAGGGCACUGGCUGGUGGGAGCCACCCCUACAUCUCUGACAUUGGUGGAGCCAGGACCCCAGAGAGGUGCCUCCUGAGGACCAGAGGGCAGGCAGCAGGGGCCCUGGAAACAGAACGCCUCCCCGAGCUUCUCGACAGAAGACAGAGGUUCCCCCACUCAGUGACAUUUCCUGAAGACAGUGGGGAGCAGGGAGGGGAAAUCGGCCCGUCCUCCGGGAGCCACCCCCAGACAGCCAACAACCAGGGCGGACCCAGCCAUGAGCCCACAGAGCGCCGGCGCCCUGUCCCCCGGCCCGAGGUGCAGUGCUGCAUCUCUGGUCAGUUGGGAGUCUGAGAUGAAGCACUGUAGCUCAGGAAGGGAGAAGUUGUUCUGCGGCCAUCAGCCUGGAAGCGGUGAGUGGUGGUGGCGCUUGGGGGCGCCAGGCAGGACGGGAGCAUUUCCAGUCUCCACACUGUCAGCUGUUCCUGCAGAGGAAGUUUCUGGACUCAGGUCCCACCUGUGUCCCUAUGCGCUCUGUGAUUCGGGGCGAGCAUUGACUCUUCUGUGUACCCUAGUUUUGUCCAUCUGUGGAAUGAAGUGUUGGACCCUCCAGUGGGGGCCCUCACCCAGCACCCUGCCUCUGCUUUCUCUUUCUGAGCCCUUGGUGGCCCCUGCUAAUCAGAGAAGGCGUCCAUUCUGGAAAUGUUCAGAUGCGGCUUCAGAAUCCUUCUCAACACAAAGUCCUGGGUAGCGACUCUUAAUGAUUCAGAGCUGAAACCCAUUCAUCAUUUGUGGAUUGGACAAUUUCUAAAAACCCUUUCAUCCCUAAAGACAAAGCUCUGGGCUCUUCAUGUUUUGAGCUCUUACCUUUGGCUCCCGGCCCUUGCCUGACCCAGUCCAGGCCUCACCAAUGUCUGACCUCUCUUGGAGGCGCCAGACAAGCAGGGACCAGCAGAGGAGAAUAGCUGGGCUAAGCACAACUUUAUUUAACCUCCCAACAAGCUUGGGAGGUGAGCAAUGUUAUUGACCCAUUUUACAGAUGAGAAGACUGAGGUUCGGUUAAGCAACUCACCCAAGGUCACUCGUGAGUUGUGCUGAGUCGGGGUUGUAGCCUAAUCUCUCGGCCGUCAAAUUCGUGUUCUCACCCACUGCACGUGACUGUGUGCCCCAGGGGUGGGCAGCGGAAGGAGAACAUCAUAAAUCCUCCUCUGGUCUCGUCCCUGUAUCUCAGGCCGCUUUUAGCAAAGACAGACCCAGCCACUCUCCACUAAUCCUAAGGACUCCUUUCCUCCUGCCUGUCCCCCAACAUUGUAUUUAUCUCACCUUAUGCAGUAGGACCUAGACUGUCCCAUUUUACAGUUGAGGAAAGCCAAGGUUAAGUGACUUGCUGGAGGUCACCAGCGAGGGAGUUGCCAGAGACUGAGAACGGGAUCUGCCUCCCUUUGGCUGGAGGCUCAGGAAUACACACGACCCAUGGCAGCCACGGGGAGGGAGGGCGGCUGGGACCCCAGAGGGCUUCUGGUUGACAACAUGGCUCUUGACAACGCGGAAGGUACUUUCCAGGGCACUUGGAAGUUCCAGUCACUAUUCCUCCUGGAGAGAUCAGCCACAUCCUGCGAUUCGUGGCACCCAUGCUGGCUUCUGCAGAUGGGGCUGGAAGCAGAAGAAAACUCCAGCUGGUCCUUAGGGACGUAGCAGGGCCUUGGGGCUGAAGGCCACUCUCUCACCUUGUCCUCACGGUCCAGUUUUCCCAGGAAUCCCUUAGAUGCUAAGAUGGGGAUUCCUGGAAAUACUGUUCUUGAGGUCAUGGUUUAACAGCUGGAUUCGCCUCCUUCCCACCCCAGAGUUGGCCCUGUGGGGCCUCGGCUCAAGCACAGGAUGAGGGGCAAGGAGAGGCCCGUGCGCUGGAGGUAAGAGGGCUCGCAGACCGUCUUCUUGACCUUUAAGUUGCUCUUCUUUCCAUAUUGUCCAUUUCGUAACAUCCCUAUGAGGCUGGAUGUGGGAACUUCACCGCUGCCAUACUCUUGGGAAAUUUGCCCCGACGCUCGCGGAGCAGUGGCUGAACCGGGACGCUGUAAAGCACGGGUUCUCCCGGUCUCCACCCACCCUUACCCCACUUCCCAGCAUGCCGUGUGGUAGGGGCCACAAGAGCGUAUCUGCAUGAUUGACAAAUUAAUAAACGCGCACGAAUUUAUUUUAACAGUUUAUUAAAUCAGUUAGGUAAACUAAAAACUAUAAGUCUUAGUUCCAUUUGGAAUACAGCCAGAGAAAAAUAGAAAUUUUUUCCAUCAACCCGGAGAAGACAAAAAAGCUCAGAGCGCCCUCUUGUGGUGAUGCCUGCUGCUACCCACUCCAGGAACACACGCACACGCACACGCACCGCCCCGAGAUUCCUUUAGCCCCACGCACUUCUGAGGCAGUGACCACUCAAGCCCCAUCCAUCAGCUCAUUACUAGUGGUGGCUCCAGCACUCAGUGUCCUUUUAGUUCCAAAGCCUGGCUUCCUCCUCAAAGCUCCCUGAAGGUCUGUGUGGUAGGGGAGGCUCAGAGAGGUGAAGUGACCAGCCCCAGGUCGCCCAGACAGCAAAAGGAAGAGCCAGGAUUGAUCCCAAGUCCAGUGGCCUGUGGCAAUUCCUUAGCUAAAAGCAAAAACUACAAAAAUAAAACCUAAAAAGACUCUCUGAAUAGACAUUGGGAAUGCUAAUGGACCGAAUGCCGAGGACCCGAGGUGGUCCAGGGACAAAACCAGAACUUUUCACAAACUCUUCCUUGCGUUUUUCAUGGAGUUGGUAGAGAUGGUGGGUGUCAUGGCCCCAGAGUCCUCACUUUGGGGGUCUGAUCCCCAUAGUCCCAGGGACGAGGUGGCUCCCACACAUGGCUCAAGCUGUCUUCCUAACGGCCCACAUGGAAGACAUUUAUGAUGUACGAGAUCUACUCUUCUCAUACACAGAGACUGGAGCUGGCCUGACCAUGGAGAAAUCUGAUUUGCUCCUAACAAUGAUAGUAAUAGCUUCUACUCAUGGAGCACUUACAAUUUGCCAGAUACUCUCUAAACAGGUGCACAGGCAUUACCUCAUUCAGUGCUCACAAGAACCCAGUGAGACAGGUUUUAUCAUUUACUCCAUUUCACAGACAAGGAAGCCAAGGCUCAGAGAGGUUAAGAGACUUGCCUAAGGCCACACAGCUAAUAACGGUGAAUCUGGGAUCAGAUCAAGUCUGUGUUUAUGCUUUUAACCUGCCCUUGCCUCCUCCCUCCCAUUUGGCCUGACUUGACGAGUAGGGCUAUCUCUCUGUGGCUUCCCUGGGGGGGGUGGCGGAAGGUAAAAAAGUAAGACCUGUGUGGUCCCUUCUGUGCUCUGUGACUAUAAUAAACUGCUGGACCCUUGAUUUGUGUCCCGUUUCUUCCUGGGAACAGGGGAGGAAGAGAAGGCAUAGAAAGAACCUGUAUUAGUUGGCCCGAGCUGUCAUAACAAAGUACCACAGACUAGGCAGCUAAAACUAUAGAAAUUUAUUUUCUCAUCAUUCUGGAGGCUAGAAGUCUAAGAUCAGGUGCUGGCAGGGUUGGUUUCUUCUGAGGCUUCUCUGUCUUACAGAUGGCUGCCUUCUCCCUGUGUCUUCACUCUGUGUAUCCACAUCCUAAUCUCCUUUCUUAUAAGGACACCGGUCAUGCUGGAUCAGGGCUCACCCUAAUGACCUCAUUCAACCUGUCUCCAAGUACGCUCACUUUCUGAUGUACUGGGGGUUAGGACUUCAACACGAAUUUGGGGGGACACAAUUCAGCCCCAUAGCACAGCCCCCUUGAGGUGACCCCCCAUGUGCCUUCACGUUGCCAGACGUUUCCAGAGGCCAGCACAGACAGCAAUGGGGACCCACACUGGGGCAGCAGAAGGCCCAGAAAGCUGCCAUGCCUUGUCUGGGAACACCCCGCUGUGGAGGGUUAGGGGAAGGAAAGAGUCCCAGGAGGUAAGGUCCACCGGGGUGGGCCAGGCACCAGCCAAGGAGCCUGGCCACGAGGCGCCCUCUCCCCUUCAGUCCCAAAGGCUGACUGACCAGGCAAACAGAAGAAUGUGAAAUCACACCUCACACAGGUGUCAGGGUUGAGAGUCCCGACCCCCGGGCUCCAGCCGUCCCACAGGCAUCGUGGCCAACACUUGGGGACAUUUUAAACACAGUUGCCCCACUCUUGGCAUGAUCUUCCAGGCUCUGCUACAUUUUGAGGUAAAGAACCCUACAGCCUGAGCAACAACCUUUUACACGACCAUUCCUAGAUGCAUGGCACCUCCCCGCAUCUCUCCUGCGCACCCCAGGAGCCUCGGGGAGGAGGGGGGAGUCAGCGCACGUGGGAGCCCCUCUCCAGACCCCACCGGCCCUGUGACACACCCCGGUGCUGUUCAGCUUUGAGAAAGGACCCAGCCAGCCGCCAGAGCCUUCUCGACACUCAAAGGCCUUGUUCCUUCUAGAACCCCGACUCCACCCCUGGGGAACUAUCACCAGUUAAGACGGGGCAGGUUCCGCGCUGUGGUUUGAGAUCCUCGGGGGUGGAGGGUGGACGGGAAUAACGGCAAACAUACAGCAAAGGCCGCGCCCUCGUUACCCAUCUCAAGGCAGCCCCACCAGCCCUUCCUGGGCAUCCGCGUGCGCCGGGGCUGCCGCGGAAACGAGACAACCGGAGCCCCGGCGCGCUAGAAGCACAGACUCCAUCCCACGCACAGAAACGUGAGAUCUCGCACUCCCGCUGCAGGAUUUCAGCGUUGAAACCUUUCCCGAACACAGCCCUCAACAAUAACAGUUACAAACACAUCCCUAAAUGCCACGCCGUGGGCCUCCGUCCUGUGGGGAGAAGGAAUUGGCAUC
Molecule: long non-coding RNA, 16189 nt
Filed under: Equus caballus (horse)
Lineage: Eukaryota; Metazoa; Chordata; Mammalia; Perissodactyla; Equidae
Description: lncRNA (ENSECAG00000040888.2)
Rfam family: mir-145 microRNA precursor family (bases 13062-13147)
Source: RNAcentral